GCCUGCUUAGCUCAAAGGUUAGAGCA
This 26-nucleotide transfer RNA is filed under the name Passiflora misera. Its description in RNAcentral is "partial tRNA-Thr". The record is from RNAcentral. Lineage: Eukaryota; Viridiplantae; Streptophyta; Magnoliopsida; Malpighiales; Passifloraceae.